This 253-nucleotide ribosomal RNA is filed under the name uncultured bacterium. RNAcentral describes it as "partial 16S ribosomal RNA". It matches the Rfam family "Bacterial small subunit ribosomal RNA", at positions 524 to 776 of the family's 1533-position model. The record is from RNAcentral.
UACGUAGGGUGCGAGCGUUAAUCGGAAUUACUGGGCGUAAAGCGUGCGCAGGCGGUUUUGUAAGUACCUUGUGAAAUCCCACGGCUCAACCGUGGAACUGCUUGGUAUACUGCUUAUCUUGGGUCAUCUAGGGGCGAGCGGAACAAACGGUGGAGCGGUGAAAUGCGUAGAUAUCGUUUGGAACGCCAAUGGUGAAAACAGCUCGCUGGGGAUGUACCGACGCUGAGACACGAAAGCCAGGGGAGCGAACGGG